This is an RNA transcript of Lagenorhynchus albirostris (white-beaked dolphin), 6126 nucleotides long. It is a transcript of the gene named HEAT repeat containing 6, with no coding region annotated. The transcript has 23 exons. NCBI's taxonomy places the organism in Eukaryota, Metazoa, Chordata, Mammalia, Artiodactyla, Delphinidae. The record is from RefSeq and is a predicted model, not a curated record.
AUGGCGGCGGCGCAAGUAGCGGGUUCUUUGACGAGCGGGCCGGCGAAAGAGGCGCAGGGGGAGCCACCCCUCGAGCAGGGCCGUGGGUUCCGCUGCUUGUCAGCCAGGCUCUGCGCCCUGCGACCGGAUGACAGCAGCUCCAGCCGCACCGAGCUCCACCUGCUCUUCGACCAGCUCAUCUCCGAGAACUACAGCGAGGGCAGCGGCGUGGCCCCGGAGGACGUCAGUACUCUUCUUGUCCAAGCUUGCCAACUGGUGCCUCUUAAUCAGAAUCAUCUUGUCAGCAAAUUGUCUCAGCUUAUCCACCAUUUACUUAACACACUACAGGUGAUUGUUGAUGAACAGAACCUGGAUUUCCUGUUGGCAUAUACUAUUUCUGCUAUUCAGCAGUGCAGUUCCUGGACACACAUGCAGAUUCUCCAAGCCUUAGCAGCCCUGGUUUACUGCAACGGCUCCAAGUGUCAAAAGUACCUCCCAGACUUGCUUGGCAAGAGCGGACUCUUGAUGAAGCUGAGUGACUUGGCUCAGUCGGACCCUGAAGUUAGGAGAGCUGCAGUGCACUGUAUGGCAAACUUAUGUCUCAGUGUGCCAGGACAGCCGUACUUGGAGGAGCCCUACCAAAAUAUCUGCUUCCAAGCUUUCUUGACCACUUUACAGUCUCCAAAAUCAUCUGAUAUGGAUGAUAUCACGUUUUGCAUGUUGUUACAAAAUGCAUUAAAAGGUAUACAGUCUCUUCUAAAUGGUGGGAAGAUGAAACCGACACAGACUGAUGAACUUGGAGCUCUUCUGGCUGUGCUAAAGAAAACCAUGUUCCAUGGACUCCCUGGACUAAACAUAGAGAUGCCCACGGUGUUGUACCCCACUCCACUUCCUCAGUAUGAUGGACGACCACCCAUCAAACCGCAGCAGACAGAAUCCAGCACUUCUCGACCAAUUGUGAAUAAAAGGAAAAAAUCAAAAGUAAAAGCGAAGAAAAUCCAGCAAGGAGAGGAGGAGGAGGAAGAAUCCAGUGGUGAAAGAGAAGUAGCCCCAGUCACUGGCUCAGGCAGACUGAACCCGCAUAAAGGGGACGCUCAGUGCCCCUCCUCCCUGGGUGUUUCGAGUUUGCCAUUAGCUGGAAGUGGAGCUGCAGGAAAAGACCAAGUCUCCUCAUCCUUCAGUUCUUCCAGUUGGAAGAGAGUCAGCAGUAGUGAGUCAGACUAUUCUGAUGCUGAAGGAGGCAUGCAGAGUAAAGUGAGGUCUUACCAAGCCAAAGUUCGCCAAGGAGCAUUAGCCUGUUUUCUUUCUACUAUAAAAUCAAUAGAAAAAAAAGUUCUUUAUGGCUACUGGUCAGCCUUUGUUCCUGAUACACCUGAGCUUGGAAGCCCACAGUCUGUGUCCUUGAUGACUCUUACAUUAAAAGAUCCUUCUCCAAAGACGCGUGCCUGUGCUCUGCAAGUUUUAUCUGCCAUCUUGGAAGGCUCAAAGCAGUUUCUUUCUGUUGCUGAAGAUACCAGUGACCACAGAAGGGCUUUCACUCCCUUUUCUGUAAUGAUCGCUUCUAGCAUUAAAGAGUUGCACAGAUGUCUUUUGUUAGCUUUGGUGGCUGAAUCAUCCUCACAGACCCUUACUCAGAUAAUUAAGUGCCUUGCAAACUUAGUAUCAAAUUCACCUUAUAACCGUCUGAAACUCAGCCUGCUGACCAAAGUCUGGAACCAGAUAAAGCCUUAUAUCCGCCACAAAGAUGUUAAUGUUCGUGUGUCCAGUCUCACACUAUUGGGGGCCAUAGUGUCCACUCACGCACCUUUACCUGAAGUCCAGCUACUUUUACAACAGCCCUGUUCUUCUGGACUCAGCAAUAGCAAUUCAGCCACUCCUCACGUCAGUCCUCCUGAUUGGUGGAAAAAAGGCCCUUCAGGACCCUUUCUGGAAGAAGCCGCAGUUAGCUCACCAAAGGUGUCUUCAGAGCCCUGCUGGCUCAUUCGACUUUGCAUUUCCAUUGUUGUUCUGCCCAAGGAAGAUGCCUGUUCAGGUAGUGAUGCUGGCUCCACAGGAGGAAGCACCUAUGAGCCAUUCCCCUUGCGACUGGAGGCCUUACAGGUGUUGGCUCAUCUGGCAAGGGGCUACUUUUCAAUGACUCAGGUCUACUUGAUGGAGCUUGGAGAGGUGAUUUGCAAGUGCCUGGGGGAGGCAGAUCCAUCUGUCCAGCUUCAUGGAGCAAAGCUUCUGGAAGAACUGGGUACAGGCUUAAUACAACAGUAUAAACCAGAUUCUUCCAUAGCACCUGAUCAGAGAGUGCCAGUCAGCUUGGUGGUGAUGUUCUGGACUGUGAUGCUGAACGGUCCUUUACCCAGAGCCCUGCAGAAUUCAGAGCAUCCGACUCUGCAGGCGAGCGCCUGUGAUGCCCUGUCUUCCAUCUUGCCAGAAGCCUUCAGCAAUCUGCUGAGUGACAGGCAGAUCCUGUGCAUCACCAUGCUGCUGGGGCUGAAUGACAGCAAGAACCGAUUAGUGAAAGCUGCGACCUCUCGGGCCCUUGGGGUCUACGUGCUUUUUCCGUGUCUCAGACAGGAUGUCAUAUUUGUUGCAGACACAGCAAAUGCAAUAUUGAUGUCACUUCAAGACAAGUCUCUUAAUGUCCGGGCCAAAGCAGCCUGGUCCCUAGGCAACCUGACAGACACUCUGAUUGUCAACAUGGAAACACCAGACCCAAGUUUCCAGGAAGAAUUCUCUGGCCUCCUGCUCUUGAAGAUGCUGCGAUCAGCUAUAGAGGCAUCCAAGGAUAAAGACAAGGUAAAAAGCAAUGCAGUCCGGGCCCUUGGAAAUUUGCUUCAUUUUCUGCAACCAUCUCAUAUAGAAAAACCCAGAUUUGCUGAAAUCAUCGAGGAGGCUAUCCAGGCCCUAAUUUCUACUGUUCUAAUUGAGGCUGCCAUGAAAGUCCGAUGGAAUGCUUGUUACGCAAUGGGGAAUGUAUUUAAAAAUUCUGCUCUUCCCUUAGGAACAGCCCUGUGGACCUCCCAGGCCUACAACGCCCUGACAUCAGUUGUGACAUCAUGCAAGAACUUCAAAGUGCGCAUCAGAUCUGCCGCUGCCCUUUCUGUCCCGGGCAAGAGAGAGCACUAUGGAUCUGUUGACCAGUACGCUCAGAUCUGGAAUGCAUUGGUCACUGCCUUACAGAAGAGUGAAGACACCACAGACUUUUUGGAAUUCAAGUACUGUGCUAGCCUACGGACCCAAAUCUGCCAGGCACUGAUUCACCUCUUGAGCUUGGCCAGCGCCUCAGACCUGUCCUGCAUCAAAGAAACCCUUGAAUUGAAUGGGGACAUGGUCCAGUCCUAUAUCCUACAAUUUUUAAAAUCAGGAACAGAGAGAGAUGACACUGGAGCACCCCACAACCCGCAGGAAAGAGACCAGAUGGUCAAAACAGCCCUGGAGCACAUAAGCAGUGUCCAGGCACUGGCUGGCGACACAGCCAAAAGGGCCAUCAUGGGCUAUUUAGAAGAUAUCCUGGCCAUUUAUUUUGACUCAUCUGGAUCACAAGUAGCACUCUUAGGAUUAACAAAUCGGUGUCCAGGUUUCUGAAAACAGAUGUUAAUAUUCGUAUGCAGGGAAAAAGCAAGGUCCUAGCCCACCCUGUCUCUCCCACUGCAUGCAGCUGUAGUGCCUGGACUCAAUGCAUGGAGCAGCUAUCUUGGAAAGGAAAGAAUAACAGGAAGAUCAGGGAAGGAAAGGGGAACUCCGAGUACCACCUAACUGGCACUGCAGGACCAGAAACUAAAAUCAGAGACCAAUAAAGAAGAGAAGGGUCCUCCUACAAGUGUUUCUCCUUGCUUCCUAAUUAAAUGUCAGUGACCUCACUUCUCCCUCUCCUGAUUGACACCCAGCUGUGGGCUUGCUUGGCUCAAGGAAGAAUCAUGGAUCUGUGAACUUUGGCAGAAGGUAGGGACCUCAUCUCACUCAACCGACAUCUAGAGAGACUCUCCAUCUGCUAGUGUCCUGGUCCAGCUGCCUCACUCAUAGAGGAGACUGAGUCCCAGAGAGGAAGGGUAACUUGCUUAGGGUCGCCCAGCUAGUAAGCAGCAGGGCUAGGCCUGGAAUACAAGUCUUCUGCGUCCAAGGUCAGUGCUCACUUUUUUUAAAAAGUUUUUAAAAUAAAAUUCUCUUUUAAACUUGGACAAGGAGAACUGUAGCAUCCAUGGGACCCUAAAUAAAAUUCAUUUGUUUAAUGCAUUCAUUCAACAAAUACUGAUGAGUGGGAUAUGCCAAUAUAUGAUUGCCUGGCAGCACUAAGGAGCCAUCAAGGUUUGAGGUCAUGAAUCUAAAGUGUGAGCUGCCAGCCUAGCUGAGCAUUUUUCUCGAACUUCAUUCAGGUACAUGGGGUCAGGUGCUAAGUGAGCAGAGAGUCAGAUCUAACCAGGGUUGUGAUAUUGCCAAAGGAGUGUGAUAAGGGAAGGGGACAAGAAUUGAGGGGAUGUAAAGAAGUGAAUACGAUGAAAAAUCAUAGGAUUUAAACGUGAAUUUUAUUAUAAAAACUUUUUUUUUUUAAUUUCACACAAUGAAUUUUGAAACCGAGUUGUGAUGCACGUUCAGGUUGAGAUGGUAAUAUUGUCAUCUUUGUUUGGAAGCUGUCUUGAGAGUGUUUGCUUGGGCAGGUGCAACUUGGAGACAGUGGAGGCUCUGCUUGAUUUAAAUUGUUGUUUGAGCCAGUGCUCGACCUGAGAGCCUCAGGACUUUCCUUCCUCCGGAAGGAGCCUUUUGAGACAAAUCUAGGGGCUGGUCAAAGCUCAGGAGCUGCAGCUCAACUUCUAAAGCCCUUUUAUAGUGUUAUUUGUAUAAGUAAAUAGUUGGCUUCCUAUUUCAGGGAGGGACAUAUUUGUCCUCAAGGCUGCCUCGUGUCCUGGGCAACCACGGGGUGCUGGAAAACACAACUGAUCCUCUCCUGACGUUGUUUUGAAAUAGCAAGGGCAAUUUGGACCCUUCCACCACAAAAAUCAAUUGUAUCCUGAAGCUGAAAUGCAAGCCACCCUGCGUCCCCCACUCAGUUUUGUAUUCCGUCCAUCCCCUACCUCACUGUAGCACUUACUAAGAAUCUGGCCUCCUUUCCACUCAUCAUAGGAGCCCAGGCGGAUGAUCUGCAUUACUUAGUUUUCAUUGAUGUCAGCGGUGGUAAUGAUUAAGUGGAAACACCCCACCCCAUUCAAACGUCUCCCUCUUCCCUGCUGAUCCCCAUUGCGAGAGAAAGUGCAGUGUGCCUUCCAAUAUUCCUCCCAGAACUUGUGGCUGGAGUGCAAGUGAGGUGAAACAGUGGAAAGCAAGUCCUCUCGAUUCCAGUCACACCACCACCUUCCAGCAGCUCCAAAUGUCAGCCUCCUCCCCAGGUGGAUGCAGCAGUCUUUGGAAAAACUCAAUGGAUAUUUCACUACAGUUGGUACCAAACAAUAACUGAAGGUAUAAACAAAGCAGAAGUAUAUGCAUAUAUAAAAGUGUACCAAGAUGCAUACUUCUGAUGUGUUCUCUUUACGUAAAUUGUAACCCAGGAUAAAAAUUUUAAUAAAGCAGAAUUCUAGAAUCCUAACUAAUGUAGGAUCUAGGCAUGGGGGCAAUCAAGAAUGCCGUUACCCACUUUAAGAUCCCAAUGUUCUGGGUUGCCUUUGACAAGAGGACAUCAAAACAGUGAAGAAUGAUUGCUGAUUGUUGUUUCAAAAACAGAACAAUAAAAGGUAAGUCACCCCACCACCACACACACAUACACUUGCCCUCACAUUCUCAAUCCCUAGAAUAGAUCUGAAAAAGAAAAGCCCAAGAAAUUCCAAGCAUGCAUACCUCCUCAGAUAAGACAGAAAUGGAAGAAAACCAAACUUUUUAAAGUAAGCAUUUUGAUCUUCAUGCAAACAUGGAGUUAAUCUUGGGACAGCUAAGCACAAUUACACAGAUGAAUUCAUUGUGUGAAAUGGUCAUUGAGCGUAGAGAAUGUUAGUGCCAGUUCAGAGUCCAAGCUCUGUAGGGGUCAUACCUGAAUCUGCUGAGCUGAGCACAUGGAAACCUCGGUGUGCAUUCAGGCUUGACCACUCUUUUUAAUUUAUUUCAGAGCUGCUCACUGGGGUGGCUUCAGGAAAUGCAAAUAGAAUGUCCAUAGUGGUGUUUGAAGAC